GGAGGAGCUGCGGCGCGGUAAGAUCGCUGGAUCACCAGCGGCUACUAAUCUGCGCUAUCCAGGCGCUGGCCGUGUUUACAUGUCGACAGAGACCAGGCUGAGAGCGUCGGUUGUCUGGACCUUGUAGCAGGAGUCUUGUCUGACAGCUGGGAGGGGAGGCGGAAGAUGUUUGGCCUGUUGUCGUGCCACUGAAAUCCACGUCAAGUCGGGUCAUGACGUCCGAGUGUGAUAGCAGUUUGCUGGGCCGGGACCCUCGGAGGUGAGGUGUUUGGUGAGGAGAUGGCACAUGGAUCCGCUCGCCUUACAUGACGGUUCAGAAGAAGUGCUCCUGUAUCACAACCAUCGUCGGCUGCUCAUUACAGUGACAUUCAUGUGGAUAUUGUCAAUGACCGGAGGAGUUUACUCCUCUCUUGUGUGAGAGGCCGUGAGGUGGCGGCUCUCGCAGAAAGAGCCAAGGCAGACAGGAUCGCAGCGUCAUCGUUUUCAAAGCUGUGGCUGGCUGAGGCGAGCUGCGUGUCCCGCAGGGGUGGGACGGAAACCUAGCAGCCGAAAGCAAGGACGCGUGGACCGGUGGAGGGGCAGUGACAUUUCUUCAUCUGAACCUUGAUGUUGUGUCUUGUGACUGCCGCGGCGUGGGAGACUGUGAGAAAUCGACAGCCAUUGAAGUGAGCUGAUGCUGGUUGCUGGGAGGUGGACGCAGCUCAAGUGCAGAACCCAGCUCUGAAGGAUGCCACACAUCACAUGUCAGAGUGAGGCCCGGAUGUUUGCUGAGUCUAAUCAGCACUUUCCUGUCAGUGUGAUGAGUCGAGAGAGAAACGCUGGAGAGCGUGAGGGGAGGAAGCCGUCUGGACUAUAAUCAAGUCCACCACAAACAGGAAGUCCAAGUCUGCGGAAGCUCCAGCUGUUGUGUUUGGGCUGCCGAGCCGCUUCAAUCACAGCGGAAUGAGUCGCUCACACACCCACCUUCCAGUGUCUCCAGCCUCCCAAAAUGGUGGGUGGAGAUGAUCCGUGUCGCCACUGUCCUGCCGGCUCCGUCUUGUUGGUCUCCGUGUCCUGGGUGAGUGUGCGAUGGCAGCAGAGGCAGCGUCUGGGAGGAGGAGGACGGGACUCGCAACAGUUGGAAACCUGUCUGGAGGAGACUGCUGUUCAACCAAGGCUUGAGAGGAAUGAAGCAAAAAGACGUCAGUGUCUGUCUCUUCUCACUGUCAGCUGUAAAAGAUGUCAUAUGGAAUAUGGCGGGACAGAAUGUGCGAAAAAUAAUCUCCAAUUGUGGAUGCAGUUUGUAUGAUUUCCAAUGCUUUAUAUGGACGGUGAAGAAAAUGGUGAAAUAAGGAUCCUUUUUUAAAUGCUAUUUUUUAAUGCUGGACACAAAGUAAUGGGUUCAUGAGGGCCUGCAUGAAUUUGAUCAACUGUUUUAUCAUCAUUGUAAUAAUAAUUAUGAUCAUUAUUUCUGUCAUGUGGAGUAAGAAAGGUGAAGAAAAAACCUCUUGCACAACGAUGUGAGACAAAUGUUCUUUAAUAAUUUGAUUAAAACAAAGCAUAAGAUGAUGAUGAACAAAGGCUCAACAAAAUUCAAGGAGAAAAUGAAAAAUAUUGUAAUAAAAAAACUCAGAGAAAUGUAUAGUCCACGUAUGGAAAUUGUUGACAAUGAGAAUUCUGAAAAUCUUUAUACAAUACUUCAAGUUCAACUUCUAAGCAAGUGACAGUCAUAUUGAGGGAUUAAAUACAAAGUUAUGAGUAGGAAAAAAAAGCAAUAUUGCUUCACAAAACAUUGAUAAAUCAGCAAAGGUUAAGCCAACAAUACAGUGGUUUUCAAUGUGACCAACAAUGAAAUGUAAAAUAUUGACAGAUUCAUUGCAUUACGAAUAUGAAAAUGCUUAUUAAUAGUGACUAAACACAACCCUUGGCGGCUGACAGACUGAUACUGAGGGAAGCCAGGCUGAAGGUGAUAUG
Synchiropus splendidus (mandarinfish) is the source of this 1953-nucleotide long non-coding RNA. RefSeq lists it as uncharacterized. Lineage: Eukaryota; Metazoa; Chordata; Actinopteri; Syngnathiformes; Callionymidae. The transcript has 3 exons. The record is from RefSeq and is a predicted model, not a curated record.